Molecule: ribosomal RNA, 483 nt
Filed under: uncultured bacterium
Lineage: Bacteria
Description: partial 16S ribosomal RNA
Rfam family: Bacterial small subunit ribosomal RNA
Source: RNAcentral
AUUGAACGCUGGCGGCAGGCCUAACACAUGCAAGUCGAGCGGAUGAAGGGAGCUUGCUCCUGGAUUCAGCGGCGGACGGGUGAGUAAUGCCUAGGAAUCUGCCUGGUAGUGGGGGAUAACGUCCGGAACGGGCGCUAAUACCGCAUACGUCCUGAGGGAGAAAGUGGGGGAUCUUCGGACCUCACGCUAUCAGAUGAGCCUAGGUCGGAUUAGCUAGUUGGUGGGGUAAAGGCCUACCAAGGCGACGAUCCGUAACUGGUCUGAGAGGAUGAUCAGUCACACUGGAACUGAGACACGGUCCAGACUCCUACGGGAGGCAGCAGUGGGGAAUAUUGGACAAUGGGCGAAAGCCUGAUCCAGCCAUGCCGCGUGUGUGAAGAAGGUCUUCGGAUUGUAAAGCACUUUAAGUUGGGAGGAAGGGCAGUAAGUUAAUACCUUGCUGUUUUGACGUUACCAACAGAAUAAGCACCGGCUAACUUCGUG